AAAGAAGUUAAAAUGGACAAAAAUGGCCUUAUUAUUUUUGGAUUUCCUAAGGAAUCCUUUAUAUUUGCAAGUCUUUGGUUUGAAAAUUAAGAGGUUUUUCUUCUUUUGUAUUUCUCCUCUCUUUUUUUUCUUUUUUUUUAAAUUCAGAUUGCACUUUAAUCAAAAUCAAAAACAAAAAUAGAGAAAUACAUUAUCUUUUGGUAAUAAUAUUUUAUUUAAACUCUUCUUUUAGUUAAUUCUUGACUUGGUUGAGAGCACAUUAUUUACAUAUUACCAUUGGUAUCAUUGAACAAAAUUA
RNAcentral lists this long non-coding RNA (298 nucleotides) under Prunus persica (peach). Its description in RNAcentral is "long non-coding RNA (PPER_LNC004074)". Lineage: Eukaryota; Viridiplantae; Streptophyta; Magnoliopsida; Rosales; Rosaceae. The record is from RNAcentral.